RNAcentral lists this ribosomal RNA (232 nucleotides) under uncultured bacterium. RNAcentral describes it as "partial 16S ribosomal RNA". It matches the Rfam family "Bacterial small subunit ribosomal RNA", at positions 116 to 334 of the family's 1533-position model. The record is from RNAcentral.
CGUGGAUAAUCUACCCGAUAGAUCGGGAUAACAUUUCGAAAGGGAUGCUAAUACCGGAUAAGCUCACGAUGUCUUUGGACGCUGUGGGAAAAGGUGGGGACCUUCGGGCCUGCCGUUAUCGGAUGAGUCCGCGGCCCAUUAGCUAGUUGGCAGGGUAAUGGCCUACCAAGGCUACGAUGGGUAGCUGGUCUGAGAGGAUGAUCAGCCACACUGGAACUGAGACACGGUCCAG